CACAAUGUCUGGUCCAUGAAAGUGGUGAGAGACUAUAUUGCCAAAUAUUUUUUGAAAAUAUGCUGGAUGCUUGGUAGAAAUGAGGUUCUACGGUAUGUGACCUUUGGCAUCUGGCUUCUUUUACUUAGCAUAACGCUUCCAAGGCUCAUCCAGGGUGUAGCCUGUAUCAGUAUUUCAUUUCUUUUUACGGCUGAAUAACAUUCCGUUAUAUGUAUUACCACGACUAAUUUAUCCAUUUGUCAGCGGGUGGACAUUUGAGUUGUGUCCACCUCUUGGCUCUUGUGAACAGUGCUACUAUGAACAUGUGCGUGUGCGCGAUUAUUUGAGGACCUGUUUUCGAUCGUCUUUCCAUUGUACCUGUGUUCGGUAUAUCUUGGAAUGGAAUUCCGGAUUAUAUAUAUAUUUUUAAGUUUACUUAUUAUUGAGAGAGAGAGCACGCGCACGCAGGAGAGGGCAGAGAGAGGGGGAGAGAGAGAGAAUCCCAAGCAGGCUCUGCACCGUCAACACAGAGCCCGAUGCAGGGCUCGAACCCACGAAGCGUGAGAUCACGGCCUGAGCUGAAGUCAGACACUGAACCGACUGAGCCACCCAGGUGCCCUGUAUAUUUUUUUCUAUAUAUUUAACUUUUGAAGAACUGGCAAAACUGUUUUCCACGGAGGCUGAGCCAUCUCACAUUCCCAUAGCAAUGAACGAGGGCUCCGAUUCACCAUUUGUUACUUGCUGUUUCUAUUUUUCACGAUCACCAUAGCCAUCCCCGUGGGUGUGAAAAACACUGAGAUUUUAUGCCAUGUCUGCAAAGUUGCAAGCUCUUGGGACAUCCAAGUAGCGUUGGGUCCCCCAGUGCUCGCAAUGAACCAAGGCCGUGCUGUAUUUUCAAGGCUCCCACACCCAUUCUGGGUCACGCUCUGGCAGGUGGGCAACAAAGCUUUGUAUCGUAUGGAAACUUGUCCAGCUUCAACCCAUACAGCUGAAAUGUGAGUCCAGGGCGGGGCCAAGUCAGGGGAACAAUCUGAGGCAGACCCUGGGCUGCCCUUUCUGGCUUGUUCUUUCCAUUCUUUCUUUUUUAAAAUUUUUAAUGUUUUUAUUUAUUUUUGAGACAGAGAGAGACAGAGCGUGAGCAGGGGAGGGGCAGAGAGCAGGGGAGACACCGAAUCCGAAGCAGGCUCCAGGCUCCGAGCUGUCAGCACAGAGCCCGACACGGGGCUCGAACCCACAAACCGUGAGAUCAUGACCUGAGCCGAAGUUGGACGCUUAACCAACUGAGCCACCCAAGGCGCCCCUGUUCUUUCCAUUCUUAUCGUUUAUUCUCCUAGCUAAGACCCCUUGAUGCUGGGACAUGGUCUUCAGGUACCCCAGGACAUGAUUACACCCCAGCUUCCGUUCAGCUGGGGCAUCUCCAUUCUGCAGGUUUCUUGUUAGAGUGAGAACAGUGCUAAUCACGUAACUAAAGACGCAAAGGACAAGGUCCUUUGGGAACCGGAGCCCUUUGCUUCUUUAUUUUUUUUUUUUAAUUUUUUUUUCAACGUUUAUUUAUUUUUGGGACAGAGAGAGACAGAGCAUGAACGGGCGAGGGGCAGAGAGAGAGGGAGACACAGAAUCGGAAACAGGCUCCAGGCUCUGAGCCAUCAGCCCAGAGCCCGACGCGGGGCUCGAACUCACGGACCGCGAGAUCGUGACCUGGCUGAAGUCGGACGCUUAACCCACUGCGCCACCCAGGCACCCCACCCUUUGCUUCUUUAAACUGGGAAGAUCCUGUGUGUGUUUCAGGGGCAGUUGAUAUCUGGGCAUAGGGUACGUUAUAAGGGAGGGAUUGAGAGAGAGAGAGAGAGAGAGAGAGAGAGAGAUCCGGGAUCAUUGGUGGUGAGGUAAUAGUUGAGGCCAUGAGAGGAGGUAAGAUGUAACGAAAAAUGUGUCAGUUGGUGAAGAGCUGGACUGAAUGUCCUGGUAUUCCUUUAAUUUUAGGAACACUACCGGAAAGGAGGCUGGUGCUUGUGCUGAGCCGCCUUCAGCAGCUCCACGUCCCACAUUGCUGAUGAGUGAGAGCCUCUGUUAUAAAUGGAAACGUGAACUGGCAAGUGCUCACCGGCUAACGCUGAACCCACCAGCUUAUUUUGCUACCUAUUAUGUACGUGAUCUGCGAUUUUGCUUAUUGAUUGCAAAUAUGCACGAGGAAUAGGAAGCUGGCGUGUUUUCCCAAAACGAGACGGAGCGUUUUCGCUGCUGCGUGUCUCAACCGGGUAUGGCUUCGACUUUUCAUCAUUUUUCUGAGGUCAGAAACAGCCUUUGGUGGGGCUCUAAUUUUUUUUUUUUUUUUUUUUUUUUUUUUUUUAUAUAGAAGUUUGGCUCCCGAGACUGUUUCAGAGCCUUUAGGAAAGAUAUCAAGUGGACGAGACAUGUCUGAAAAUAUUUAAAGUGGCGAUUUCCUAGGCCCUCUUUCUCCACUUUCUCCGUAGGCAUCUGUUCCCAUAUGUGGAGGUUUAAGUCAGCCUCUAUCUACAGAUGACCCUUGUCUGACCUCACUCUCUGGAAUGCUCUGCCUGCCUCUGUCUUUCAUGCCAGAGCACAUCAACACUACCUUCUGUUGGCAUUCCUGAUAGGAUCUCUUUCUCCUGAGCUCUUGAAAGAAUCCUGCUUCAGCAACUCUAGAGAAUGGUGGGAGAGUUGGUCUUUAAAAACAGAUUUAUCCCAUACCAAGGACAAGAAUCACUUAUUUUGCACCACUGUGUGCAUUGACUCUUCUUUUCUCCCAAUCCAUGAACAUAGUAUAGAUUCUUAGGUCCCCUUGACCCAGGAAUGCAGUUUCCCAUGCCUACAUAGGCCAAGUCCUUCUGUUCUCAGAGAUUCUAAUUACAUUAGCCUGUGUAUUUCCUUUAAAACGGUUAUCACAACCUAAAAUUACCUUGUUUAUUUGCUUACAUAUUCACUGUCUAUCUCUUCUAUCUAGAAAGUAAACUCCAUGAGGGCAGGGUAUUUUUUUUUAAAGAACAGUCUUUUUUUAUUUAUUUCUUUAUUUUUAGAGAGAGAGAGAGAGAGUGCACAUGAGCAAGGGAGAGAGGGAGAAUCUAAAGCAGGCUCCACACUCAGUGUGGAGACCAACUCUCAGGUCUCCAUCCCAUGACCCCGGGAUCAUGACCUGAGCCAAAAUCAAAAGUCAGACACUCAACCGACUGAGCCACUCAGGCACCGUGAGAGCGGGGCCUUAUGUGUCUUCUCCCGGCAUCCAGAGCAAUGCUUGUCCACAUAAUAGGUGCUCAUGGAAUAUUUGCCAACUGACUGACUUACAGAAUCAGUCAUUAAAACUUCAUACGAAAAUUAGCUUUCCAUUAACUCCUUCUAAGUGUCAUUUUCUUGUCUCUCUUGAACAACGAUGUCUUCCAAAUGGAGCUAGUAUCUUGACCAAACACCAACUAACUAUGUUAGUGGCUUUUGAGAUUUGGGACCCCCUUUACACCCUUAAAAGUUGUUGAAGACCCAAAGGGCUAGUGUUCAUAUGAGUCAUAUCUGUCAUUAUUUAGUGUGAUAGAAAUGAAAACUGAGAAGAGUUCAAAAUAUUUAUUUACUAAAUCAUUAAAAAUAAUAAACCCAUUAUAUGUUAACAUUUAUCCCAUAUUUUUUUUUGUUUCUCAAAUAAAAUAACAGGGACAUGAGAGGCAUUGUUUUACUUAAGA
This 3668-nucleotide long non-coding RNA is filed under the name Lynx pardinus (Iberian lynx). The record is from RNAcentral. Lineage: Eukaryota; Metazoa; Chordata; Mammalia; Carnivora; Felidae.